UAAACUCUAAUUUGUAUGCAGUUGGAACGUCUGCCCACGUUUGCCGCUAGGGGCGCUGUUCUAACUGCAAACAAAUUUGAACUA
Molecule: non-coding RNA, 84 nt
Organism: Bombyx mori (domestic silkworm)
Lineage: Eukaryota; Metazoa; Arthropoda; Insecta; Lepidoptera; Bombycidae
Source: Rfam